GGUGGUGCAUGGUUGUCGUCAGCUCGUGUCGUGAGAUGUUGGGUUAAGUCCCGCAACGAGCGCAACCCUUAAACUUAGUUGCCAGCAUUUAGUUGGGCACUCUAGGUUGACUGCCGGUGACAAACCGGAGGAAGGUGGGGAUGACGUCAAAUCAUCAUGCCCCUUAUGAUUUGGGCUACACACGUGCUACAAUGGACAAUACAAAGGGCAGCUAAACCGCGAGGUCAUGCAAAUCCCAUAAAGUUGUUCUCAGUUCGGAUUGUAGUCUGCAACUCGACUACAUGAAGCUGGAAUCGCUAGUAAUCGUAGAUCAGCAUGCUACGGUGAAUACGUUCCCGGGUCUUGUACACACCGCCCGUCACACCACGAGAGUUUGUAACACCCGAAGCCGGUGGAGUAACCAUUUAUGGAGCUAGCCGUCGAAGGUGGGACAAAUGAUUGGGGUGAAGUCGUAACAAGGUAGCCGUAUCGGAAGGUGCGGCUGGAUCACCUCCUUU
Molecule: ribosomal RNA, 497 nt
Filed under: Staphylococcus arlettae
Lineage: Bacteria; Bacillati; Bacillota; Bacilli; Caryophanales; Staphylococcaceae
Description: bacterial SSU rRNA
Rfam family: Bacterial small subunit ribosomal RNA
Source: RNAcentral